This 248-nucleotide ribosomal RNA is filed under the name uncultured bacterium. RNAcentral describes it as "partial 16S ribosomal RNA". It matches the Rfam family "Bacterial small subunit ribosomal RNA", at positions 524 to 776 of the family's 1533-position model. The record is from RNAcentral.
CACGUAGGGUGCGAGCGUUGUCCGGAAUUAUUGGGCGUAAAGAGCUCGUAGGCGGUGUGUCGCGUCGGCCGUGAAAACCUGCAGCUUAACUGUGGGCUUGCGGUCGAUACGGGCAUCACUGGAGUUCGGCAGGGAGACUGGAAUUCCUGGUGUAGCGGUGAAAUGCGCAGAUAUCAGGAGGAACACCGGUGGCGAAGCGGUCUCUGGCCGAUACUGACGCUGAGGAGCGAAGCGUGGGAGCGAACAGG